This 82-nucleotide transfer RNA is filed under the name Candidatus Doudnabacteria bacterium RIFCSPHIGHO2_01_FULL_43_23. RNAcentral's name for it is "tRNA-Leu". It matches the Rfam family "tRNA". From Rfam's summary of the family: Transfer RNA (tRNA) molecules are approximately 80 nucleotides in length. Lineage: Bacteria; Candidatus Doudnaibacteriota. The record is from RNAcentral.
GGGCGAGUGGUGGAACUGGCAUACACGCAUGACUUAAAAUCAUGUGCCGUAAGGCUUGAGGGUUCGAGUCCCUCCUCGCCCA